UCGUCAGCUCGUGUCGUGAGAUGUUGGUUAAGUCCGCACGAGCGCAACCCCUAUCCUCAGUUGCCAUCAUUAAGUUGGGCACUCUGUGGAGACUGCCGGUGUUAAACCGGAGGAAGGUGGGAUGACGUCAAGUCCUCAUGGCCCUUAUGACCAGGGCUACACACGUGCUACAAUGGCCGGUACAAAGAGUUGCAAUACCGCGAGGUGGAGCUAAUCUCAUAAAGCCGGUCUCAGUUCGGAUUGGAGUCUGCAACUCGACUCCAUGAAGUUGGAAUCGCUGGUAAUCGCGGAUCAGCACGCCGCGGUGAAUACGUUCCCGGGCCUU
RNAcentral lists this ribosomal RNA (325 nucleotides) under uncultured Geobacter sp. RNAcentral's name for it is "bacterial SSU rRNA". It matches the Rfam family "Bacterial small subunit ribosomal RNA", at positions 1052 to 1382 of the family's 1533-position model. Lineage: Bacteria; Pseudomonadati; Thermodesulfobacteriota; Desulfuromonadia; Geobacterales; Geobacteraceae. The record is from RNAcentral.